This 440-nucleotide ribosomal RNA is filed under the name uncultured bacterium. Its description in RNAcentral is "partial 16S ribosomal RNA". It matches the Rfam family "Bacterial small subunit ribosomal RNA", at positions 338 to 795 of the family's 1533-position model. The record is from RNAcentral.
CCUACGUGAGGCAGCAGUGGGGAAUAUUGCACAAUGGGGGAAACCCUGAUGCAGCGACGCCGCGUGAGUGAUGAAGUAUUUCGGUAUGUAAAGCUCUAUCAGCAGGGAAGAUAAUGACGGUACCUUACUAAGAAGCUCCGGCUAAAUACGUGCCAGCACCCGCGGUAAUACGUAUGGAGCAAGCGUUAUCCGGAUUUACUGGGUGUAAAGGGAGCGCAGACGGCGGGGCAAGUCUGAUGUGAAAGUCCGGGGCUCAACCCCGGGACUGCAUUGGACACUGUCCGGCUAGAGUGCAGGAGAGGUAAGUGGAAUUCCUAGUGUAGCUGUGAAAUGCGUAGAUAUUAGGAGGAACACCAGAGGCGAAGGCGGAUUACUGGACUGUAACUGACGUUGAGGCUCGAAGGCGUGGGGAGCAAACAGGAUUAGAUACCCGUGUAGUC